This 257-nucleotide ribosomal RNA is filed under the name uncultured bacterium. Its description in RNAcentral is "partial 16S ribosomal RNA". It matches the Rfam family "Bacterial small subunit ribosomal RNA", at positions 524 to 776 of the family's 1533-position model. The record is from RNAcentral.
UACGUAGGGGGCAAGCGUUGUCCGGAUUUAUUGGGCGUAAAGAGCGUGUAGGCGGCUUUACAGGUCCGCUGUGAAAACUCGAGGCUCAACCUCGAGCUGUCGGUGGAAACCGUAGGGCUAGAGUCCGGAAGAGGAGAGUGGAAUUCCCGGUGAUAGCGGUGAAAUGCGCAGAUAUCGGGAAGAACACCCGUGGCCGAAGGCGGCUCUCUGGGACGGUACUGACGCUGAGACGGCGAAAGCGUGGGGAGCCGAACAGG